This 702-nucleotide ribosomal RNA is filed under the name uncultured bacterium. Its description in RNAcentral is "bacterial SSU rRNA". It matches the Rfam family "Bacterial small subunit ribosomal RNA", at positions 94 to 792 of the family's 1533-position model. The record is from RNAcentral.
ACCGGCGCACGGGUGAGUAACACGUAUGGAACCUGCCCGUAGCAGGGGGAUAAGCGGAAGAAAUUCCGUCUAAUACCGCGUAAUAACUCCGAGAGGCAUCUCAUGGAGUUUAAAGGGUAACACCGGCUACGGAUGGCCAUGCGGCGCAUUAGCUAGUUGGCGGGGUAACGGCCCACCAAGGCGACGAUGCGUAGGGGUUCUGAGAGGAAGGUCCCCCACACUGGUACUGAGACACGGACCAGACUCCUACGGGAGGCAGCAGUGAGGAAUAUUGGUCAAUGGGCGAGAGCCUGAACCAGCCAAGUCGCGUGAAGGAUGACGGCCCUACGGGUUGUAAACUUCUUUUGUCAGGGAGCAAUUGGGUCCACGUGUGGGCUUAGCGAGAGUACCUGAAGAAAAAGCAUCGGCUAACUCCGUGCCAGCAGCCGCGGUAAUACGGAGGAUGCGAGCGUUAUCCGGAUUUAUUGGGUUUAAAGGGUGCGUAGGCGGAAUAUCAAGUCAGCGGUAAAAAUUCGGGGCUCAACCCCGUCGUGCCGUUGAAACUGACACCCUUGAGUGAGUGAGAAGUAAGCGGAAUGCGUGGUGUAGCGGUGAAAUGCAUAGAUAUCACGCANAACGCCGAUUGCGAAGGCAGCUUACCGGCGCUCAACUGACGCUGAGGCACGAAAGUGCGGGUAUCGAACAGGAUUANAUACCCUGGUA